Molecule: ribosomal RNA, 376 nt
Filed under: Theileria capreoli
Lineage: Eukaryota; Apicomplexa; Aconoidasida; Piroplasmida; Theileriidae
Description: SSU rRNA
Rfam family: Eukaryotic small subunit ribosomal RNA
Source: RNAcentral
CAUACGGGGCUUAUGUCUUUGUAAAAUUGGAUGAUGGGAAUUUAAACCUCUUCCAGAGUAUCAAUUGGAGGGCAAGUCUGGUGCCAGCAGCCGCGGUAAUUCCAGCUCCAAUAGCGUAUAUUAAAAUUGUUGCAGUUAAAAAGCUCGUAGUUGAAUUUCUGCUGCAUUGCAUUUUCUCCUAUACGAGUUUUUGCAUUGUGGCUUAUUUCGGUUAUAAAAUUUAUUUUUAUUUCCGGAUGUUUACUUUGAGAAAAUUAGAGUGCUCAAAGCAGGCUUUUGCCUUGAAUAGUUUAGCAUGGAAUAAUAAAGUAGGACUUUGGUUCUAUUUUGUUGGUUUUAGGUACCAAAGUAAUGGUUAAUAGGAACAGUUGGGGGC